Molecule: ribosomal RNA, 808 nt
Filed under: uncultured Gammaproteobacteria bacterium
Lineage: Bacteria; Pseudomonadati; Pseudomonadota; Gammaproteobacteria
Description: bacterial SSU rRNA
Rfam family: Bacterial small subunit ribosomal RNA
Source: RNAcentral
CGCUGGCGGUAGGCUUAACACAUGCAAGUCGUGCGAGAAAGUAUCUUCGGAUAUGAGUAGAGCGGCGGACGGGUGAGUAACGCGUAGGAAUCUACCUAGUAGAAGGGGAUAGCCCGGGGAAACCCGGAUUAAUACCGUAUACCUCCUUCGGGAGAAAGAAGGCCUCUCUUUGAAGCUUUCGCUACUAGAUGAGCCUGCGUAAGAUUAGCUUGUUGGUGAGGUAAAGGCUCACCAAGGCGACGAUCUUUAGCUGGUCUGAGAGGACGAUCAGCCACAUUGGGACUGAGACACGGCCCAGACUCCUACGGGAGGCAGCAGUGGGGAAUAUUGGACAAUGGGCGCAAGCCUGAUCCAGCCAUACCGCGUGUGUGAAGAAGGCCUUCGGGUUGUAAAGCACUUUAAGCAGGGAGAAAAAGUUAUAAGUUAAUACCUUAUAACCCUGAUGUUACCUGCAGAAUAAGCACCGGCUAAUUCCGUGCCAGCAGCCGCGGUAAUACGGAAGGUGCAAGCGUUAAUCGGAAUUACUGGGCGUAAAGCGCGCGUAGGUGGUUUGUUAAGUUGGAUGUGAAAGCCCUGGGCUCAACCUAGGAACUGCAUCCAAAACUAACUCACUAGAGUACGAUAGAGGGAGGUAGAAUUCAUAGUGUAGCGGUGGAAUGCGUAGAUAUUAUGAAGAAUACCAGUGGCGAAGGCGGCCUCCUGGAUCUGUACUGACACUGAGGUGCGAAAGCGUGGGUAGCGAACAGGAUUAGAUACCCUGGUAGUCCACGCCGUAAACGAUGACAACUAGCUGUUGGGAGACAAUGUC